CAGCCGUAAACGAUGUGCGUUAGGUGUAUCGACGACCACGAGUUGUCGAGGUGCCGAAGGGAAACCGUGAAACGUACCGCCUGGGAAGUACGGUCGCAAGGCUGAAACUUAAAGGAAUUGGCGGGGGAGCACCACAACAGGUGGAGCCUGCGGUUUAAUUGGACUCAACGCCGGGAAUCUCACCGGAUAGGACAGCGGAAUGAUUGCCGGGCUGAAGACUCUGCAUGACUAGCUGAGAGGUGGUGCAUGGCGUCAGUGACU
This 261-nucleotide ribosomal RNA is filed under the name uncultured archaeon. RNAcentral describes it as "partial 16S ribosomal RNA". It matches the Rfam family "Archaeal small subunit ribosomal RNA", at positions 748 to 1008 of the family's 1478-position model. The record is from RNAcentral.